RNAcentral lists this ribosomal RNA (351 nucleotides) under uncultured fungus. RNAcentral describes it as "SSU rRNA". It matches the Rfam family "Eukaryotic small subunit ribosomal RNA", at positions 1326 to 1698 of the family's 1831-position model. Lineage: Eukaryota; Fungi. The record is from RNAcentral.
CGAUAACGAACGAGACCUUAACCUGCUAAAUAGUGGCGUCAACCUUGGUUGAUGGUCACUUCUUAGAGGGACUGACUACGAUUAGUGGUCGGAAGUUUGAGGCAAUAACAGGUCUGUGAUGCCCUUAGAUGUUCUGGGCUGCACGCGCGCUACACUGACAAAGACAGCAAGUAUACAACCUUGGCCGAAAGGUCUGGGCAAUCUUUUGAAACUUUGUCGUGCUGGGGAUAGACCAUUGCAAUUAUUGGUCUUCAACGAGGAAUUCCUAGUAAGCGCAUGUCACCAGCAUGCGUUGAUUACGUCCCUGCCCUUUGUACACACCGCCCGUCGCUACUACCGGAUUGAAUGGCU